Long non-coding RNA from Homo sapiens (human), 1580 nucleotides. Ensembl annotates it as long intergenic non-protein coding RNA 2160. The record is from Ensembl. Lineage: Eukaryota; Metazoa; Chordata; Mammalia; Primates; Hominidae.
UGGUGGACAUAGAGGGGAGCAGCAUGCCAAGCAGACAUAUCUACUUUCCUGUCUACAAAUCCCAUGCUCUUUUCCCUAUAGGCACUACUGAGAUACAGAGUAAACUAUCAUUGUUUGAAAAAACUAGGAAGGAGACUUCAGUCUUAUUGAGAUAUGUAUUUCUGCAGGUUAGGCUGAAGCCUCUGCAUGUCCCGAUGCCUGAUGGAGAUGGAGGAAUCCUUUCUACCCAGACAGAAGUCACACUAUGUAGCCUGUCCUCUUUAGAACUGAAUCCGAUUGGGAUUUCUUCAUGGUCUCCACCCUGGAAAACCAGCUUGAAUUCUUGUAUGCGGGCCAGAUUCCAAGAGACAUCAUAAUUAGAUCCCAGAAGACUACAUGGCAGCUGAAGAGGAUGUCCCCUGUGGAAUAUAUGGAGGAAAGGCUGGCCAAAGCAAUGUUCACAUUCAUGCAAUUAUCCAGUUAAUUGCACAAGUCAAACCAAGACUUGUUCUAAAGCCACAAUAACAACGAAAUUGAUGCUUUCAUCUCCCAGAAAUAUGGCUGUGCUGUGAUCCAUGAAUUUUAAAUUAGAAGUAAAUCUAGAUCAAAACUUCUCGAAGUUGACUAGUUUCACAUGGAAGCUAGAAGACCAAAUACAGGACUAUACCCAUAAAGAAGAGUCACCUGGCAUGAGAAGGUGAAACUCAUGAUUACUCUACAAGUCUUCAACAUGUAGUUACCUUCCAUUAUUUAUUAAUAUUAUUCCCACCAAAAGAGAACUCUGAUCCAGUUAUUCAGUGUGCCGUACUGGCUUGGAAACAUUCAAUACUCCCCAUCACCACUACAAGCACUACAGAGAUCCAAAGAUUCUCACCCCUUCCAACAUCCUUAACCAAAAGACAUAUUCAGAAACAGGAAAUAACAAAAGUUUCAUACUCUCUCUUUUUUAUUGAGACCUCUGAAGACCUCCCACCCACCCUCACAAACACUCACACACCCAUGACUAGAAUUACAGUUGUUAUUUCAAUGGGAAGAAAUGACGCGGGGCAGGAAAUGAGAAUCUGUUAGAUGAGAAGAGCAGUCUUCUCAUCCUAAUAUUUGAGACAUUCCUCUUUCAUUUUCCUAUGACUCAUGCUUCUUUCUUUCUGGCAUCUUGUUGGAGGAGGAGGAGGAGGUGGGCAAACCCAGUGUUUUGACCAAAAAAAAAAAAAUCUUAAUACCAAAAGCAAUAGAAAAUUCCAAGAAAUGUAUGGAGAAAACAAGGGCUAUUGGUCUAAAAAUCUAUAGUUAGUACAAACUGACACUGGGUAACUGGGUAGCUUCAAGUAGUCUCAGUUAACAGAAUUCAUGUUUGUAUUGUAAAAAGGAAAGAUCUAGAAAAUCUGAUUUAAACUAAACAAUAAACUUCAAAAAUAAAAGCAAAUUUGUCUGUUUCUGAGAUAGGGUUUUGGAGAAUGAUGUUCUAACAUUUGUUUGUAAUGGAAAAAUAAGAACUAACUAGAUUUGUAAAUAUGCGCUGACCUGACAAAAAACUCUAAUGAAUGGCUUAUAACAGACAUGGAAAGUUAUGGUUGAGAAAAUUUUUUUCAAAAAGAACAUAA